CGGGAAGCGCCUGCGCCCGCCGCGGACAGACCGCGGCGAGCACAAAGGCGACAUCGGUCUGCGGGGGCCAACUGGGAGGGAGGACAACAAGCCUCGAUGCUCCCCCACUUUACCUUGGAAGCCUCUCUUACUAAAGAACCUGGGUUCAGAAGAGUGUCUGCUAGAMUAAUCCUGCUGCUUUGGUCCAACUUACUUAAGUCAGCUAUUGCAUCUCUGAGAGUACAGGGGAGGGAUCCUGUAGUCCAAACUCUUCUUCCCCUCAGAUCCACUCCACACGCUCCAGCUGCUUGUUACCUCACUGUGGCCGUUACUCCUGCUGGUAAUAGGAGCAACUGGAACACCCAGCGCGCGGGGGUUAGAGGCAGGCAGGAACCAGCGGGCGAAUCCUGGCUACGACUGAUCAUCCCACAGAAUUUCUAAAGGAAAGAAAAGUUCAAGAACUUUAUAGUUACUGGCUGCAAUGAAAAUGGAUGGAGAAGAGCAGCUUUUCCAAGAAAUGAACAUGAAGACAGGAGAUCAACUUAUAACGGAAAUAAUGGAACAGUUGCUUACAGUGCACCUUGCAAACUAGCUGAUGGUAAUAGGAUGAAACUUGGAAUUACUUCAGGUGCCAUGUUCAUUAAAAAAAUCAUUCAGAACCAAAACAUGAUUGCCACCUGCAUGCACAGAAACCAGAUCAUCAUCUUUCAGCUAGAAAACAAAGAAUUACUUAAUCUAAAAAGUGAACUCUGCAGAAGAUAAGUUGUUGACAUGAGUAUUCAGUUGUAGGAAUCUUGGAAACAAGCUGCCUGGUGUCCCAGAGUCUGUUCACAAACACAGAAGUGGAUACAAAAUACGCUGUAAACCGAUGACAAUUAUCAGUCUGUGGGAGAGGCCCAGUAGCAGAAUGAGCCACUGUAUAGAAGUAUAGAGAACACACACAAAUGCAUGCAGUACAUGAUAUAGUCUAUAUAUGCAAAUUUCAGAGCUAACCUCUUUCAAUUAAACUGUGCAGUUACCAAGAGAACAUUUAUAUCGAUAAUGAAGUUGCUGCAUGAAAGUCAUUGAGGCAAAUGAGGGCAAGAAGCGCUGAUAAAGGGGAAAAAAAAGAAUUUUAUUGGUUACUCUACAAGAUGUGGGUCUUUCAUUGAUAAUGUCAGUGAUUUAACUAGGAUGUCUUCAGUAAAUAUUACUUCUUCCAUACUUGUCUGACUGAAAAUCAUUGAGCACAAGACACAUCUUGAGAUACAAAUAGUCUUUAAACCCUUCCUAGCAGUGCACUAUGUGAAUGAAAAAUGCCAACAGAUUUCAGAAGGGUGUUUUAGUAUGGUUGUAGUCAAU
Molecule: long non-coding RNA, 1320 nt
Filed under: Dromaius novaehollandiae (emu)
Lineage: Eukaryota; Metazoa; Chordata; Aves; Casuariiformes; Dromaiidae
Description: lncRNA (ENSDNVG00000013858.1)
Source: RNAcentral